AUUGAACGCUGGCGGCAGGCCUAACACAUGCAAGUCGAAUGGUAACAGGAAACAGCUUGCUGUUUCGCUGACGAAUGGCGGACGGGUGAGUAAUGUCUGGGAAACUGCCUGAUGGAGGGGGAUAACUACUGGAAACGGUAGCUAAUACCGCAUAACGUCGCAAGACCAAAGAGGGGGACCUUCGGGCCUCUUGCCAUCAGAUGUGCCCAGAUGGGAUUAGCUAGUAGGUGGGGUAACGGCUCACCUAGGCGACGAUCCCUAGCUGGUCUGAGAGGAUGACCAGCCACACUGGAACUGAGACACGGUCCAGACUCCUACGGGAGGCAGCAGUGGGGAAUAUUGCACAAUGGGCGCAAGCCUGAUGCAGCCAUGCCGCGUGUAUGAAGAAGGCCUUCGGGUUGUAAAGUACUUUCAGCGGGGAGGAAGGGAGUAAAGUUAAUACCUUUGCUCAUUGACGUUACCCGCAGAAGAAGCACCGGCUAACUCCGUG
Molecule: ribosomal RNA, 490 nt
Filed under: uncultured bacterium
Lineage: Bacteria
Description: partial 16S ribosomal RNA
Rfam family: Bacterial small subunit ribosomal RNA
Source: RNAcentral